Molecule: ribosomal RNA, 491 nt
Filed under: uncultured bacterium
Lineage: Bacteria
Description: partial 16S ribosomal RNA
Rfam family: Bacterial small subunit ribosomal RNA
Source: RNAcentral
AGUGAACGCUGGCGGUAGGCCUAACACAUGCAAGUCGAACGGCAGCACAGUAAGAGCUUGCUCUUACGGGUGGCGAGUGGCGGACGGGUGAGGAAUACAUCGGAAUCUACUUUUUCGUGGGGGAUAACGUAGGGAAACUUACGCUAAUACCGCAUACGACCUACGGGUGAAAGCAGGGGAUCUUCGGACCUUGCGCGAUUGAAUGAGCCGAUGUCGGAUUAGCUAGUUGGCGGGGUAAAGGCCCACCAAGGCGACGAUCCGUAGCUGGUCUGAGAGGAUGAUCAGCCAAAAGGGAACUGAGACACGGGCCAGAAUCCUACGGGAGGCAGCAGUGGGGAAUAUUGGAAAAUGGGGGCAAGCCUGAUCCAGCCAUACCGGGUGGGUGAAGAAGGCCUUCGGGUUGUAAAGCCCUUUUGGGGGGAAAAAAAAGCAGGGGGUUAAUACCCCGCUGUUCUGACGGUAACCAAAGAAUAAGCACCGGCUAACUUCGU